Molecule: ribosomal RNA, 3593 nt
Filed under: Salipiger abyssi
Lineage: Bacteria; Pseudomonadati; Pseudomonadota; Alphaproteobacteria; Rhodobacterales; Roseobacteraceae
Description: 23S ribosomal RNA
Rfam family: Bacterial large subunit ribosomal RNA
Source: RNAcentral
AAUCAAGCGCGAGAAGGGCGUUUGGUGGAUGCCUUGGCAGUAAGAGGCGAUGAAGGACGUGAUACUCUGCGAUAAGCCAUGAGGAGCUGAGAAUAAGCUUUGAUCCAUGGAUUUCCGAAUGGGGCAACCCACCUGAAAGGUGAUUGUUAGCAAUACCGUGAGUUACGGGAGCCUGGCGCUCAAGUACCGAAGCGGUAGCGCAUAUCAAUUAUCUUGAACAGGUACUUAUUACCUGAAUACAUAGGGUUUUAAGAGCAAACCCGGGGAACUGAAACAUCUAAGUACCCGGAGGAAAGGACAUCAAUAGAGACUCCCCUAGUAGCGGCGAGCGAACGGGGACCAGCCGAACUCUGAGAGUGACUGGAAUGGUCUGGAAAGGCCAACCACAGCGGGUGACAGUCCCGUACAGGAAGCUCGAUGAGACGUAUCAAGUAGGGCGGGACACGUGAAAUCCUGUCUGAAGAUCGGAGGACCACCUCCGAAGGCUAAGUACUCCUUACUGACCGAUAGCGAACCAGUACCGUGAGGGAAAGGUGAAAAGCACCCCGACGAGGGGAGUGAAACAGUACCUGAAACCGAGCGCCUACAAUCAGUCGGAGCUUGACUGGACUCUAAUGACAAUCUGAGCCAUGCAGUCGCCAGUGAAAAACUGGAGGCAAACAUGGCAGACGGAACCUUUGCAGCGCUGAUGCUCAUCGCGGGUCUGACCGAUAUGGGCAUGAACCACUGCGGAAACGGGGCAGGUUGCCUCGCACCGGGAGACACGCAGCCGCGUGUCGCAUUCUCGGCCGGUUCCGUGAUCGAACGCAGGGCCGAUAGCGGCGCGGAGAUCUAUCUCCGCUACGAUCUCGGCACCACGCUGGGGCCGUUCGGCCAGGCCAUCGGCCUGAGCUACGGCGACGAAAGCGGUUCCUGGAUCGGCUACGGCUGGACCUGGGGCACGUCUUUCGGCAACAGCCCGUUCUACACAGAACUGCACGCGAUGCCGGGGCUUUACGCUGCCGGCGACGACUUCGACCUCGGCGGACCGAUCGAGUUCCGCUCCGGGAUCGAGUUCGGCUACGAGGCCCGAAACGGCUGGCGUUACGCUCUCGGUUACGACCAUCGGUCGAAUGCCGGGAUCUAUGACGACAACCCGGGGAUCGAGACGGUGCAGUUCAAGGUGAGCGUGCCGCUGCGGUAAGCGCUGCGGUCGGAACGAAGCGCCAAAAAAAGGCCUCAAGUAGCCGAUAGGCGGUAGGCCAAACAUAAAAACGAUGACACUCCGACACGGAGUGUCGGGUUGUCAUCAGUGUCCAGUCUUGUGACGGCGUACCUUUUGUAUAAUGGGUCAUCGACUUGGUCUAUCUAGCAAGCUUAAGCCGAUAGGUGUAGGCGCAGCGAAAGCGAGUCUUAAUAGGGCGUCGAGUUAGAUGGAUCAGACCCGAAACCGAGUGAUCUAGGCAUGACCAGGAUGAAGGUAAGGUAACACUUACUGGAGGUCCGAACCCACACCUGUUGAAAAAGGUCGGGAUGAGUUGUGCCUAGGGGUGAAAGGCCAAUCAAACUCGGAGAUAGCUGGUUCUCCGCGAAAUCUAUUUAGGUAGAGCGUCAUCCGAAUACCCCGGGGGGUAGAGCACUGGAUGGGUAAUGGGGCCCCACAGGCUUACUGAUCCUAACCAAACUCCGAAUACCCGGGAGUACUAGAUGGCAGACACACGGCGGAUGCUAACGUCCGUCGUGGAGAGGGAAACAACCCUGACCUACAGCUAAGGCCCCCAAUUCAUGGCUAAGUGGGAAAGCAGGUGGGACGACCAAAACAACCAGGAGGUUGGCUUAGAAGCAGCCAUCCUUUAAAGAUAGCGUAACAGCUCACUGGUCUAAUCAAGUUGUCCUGCGGCGAAGAUGUAACGGGGCUCAAGCCAUGAGCCGAAGCUUAGGAUGCCGUAAGGCAUGGUAGCGGAGCGUAGUGUGACAUAGCACUUGUCUUUAUUAUCGCCCUUUGGUUGUUGAGCAUACGUGCUCAAGCAGCCGAUAGGCGGUAGCACAAGACAAAGUGCUUUCUGUGAAGCCGGGCUGUAAGGCAUCCGGUGGAGAGAUCACUAGCGAGAAUGAUGACAUGAGUAGCGACAAGGAGUGUGAGAGACACUCCCGCCGAAAGUCCAAGGGUUCCUGCUUAAAGCUAAUCUGAGCAGGGUAAGCCGGCCCCUAAGGCGAGGCCGAAAGGCGUAGUCGAUGGGAACCAGGUUAAUAUUCCUGGGCCAGGAGAUGGUGACGGAUUGCGAAGAUUGUUCGACCUUAUCGGAUUGGUCGGGCCGUUCAGCAGUCCCUGGAAAUAGCCCUCCACAGGACCGUACCCUAAACCGACACAGGUGGACUGGUAGAGAAUACCAAGGCGCUUGAGAGAACGAUGUUGAAGGAACUCGGCAAAAUACCUCCGUAAGUUCGCGAGAAGGAGGCCCGGUUCCAAGGCAACUUGGGGCUGGGGGCACAAACCAGGGGGUGGCGACUGUUUACUAAAAACACAGGGCUCUGCGAAGUCGCAAGACGACGUAUAGGGUCUGACGCCUGCCCGGUGCCUGAAGGUUAAAAGGAGGGGUGAGAGCUCUGAAUUGAAGCCCAGGUAAACGGCGGCCGUAACUAUAACGGUCCUAAGGUAGCGAAAUUCCUUGUCGGGUAAGUUCCGACCUGCACGAAUGGCGUAACGACUUCCCCGCUGUCUCCAACAUCGACUCAGCGAAAUUGAAUUGCCUGUCAAGAUGCAGGCUUCCCGCGGUUAGACGGAAAGACCCCGUGCACCUUUACUACAGCUUCGCACUGGCAUCAGGAUUGUGAUGUGCAGGAUAGGUGGUAGGCUUCGAAGCAGGGACGCCAGUCUCUGUGGAGCCGAAAGAUGAGAUACCACCCUUCGCACUCUUGAUGUCUAACCGCGAUCCGUUAUCCGGAUCCGGGACCCUGCGUGGCGGGUAGUUUGACUGGGGCGGUCGCCUCCUAAAGCGUAACGGAGGCGCGCGAAGGUUGGCUCAGAGCGGUCGGAAAUCGCUCGUUGAGUGCAAUGGCAGAAGCCAGCCUGACUGCAAGACUGACAAGUCGAGCAGAGUCGAAAGACGGCCAUAGUGAUCCGGUGGUCCCAAGUGGGAGGGCCAUCGCUCAACGGAUAAAAGGUACGCCGGGGAUAACAGGCUGAUACUGCCCAAGAGUCCAUAUCGACGGCAGUGUUUGGCACCUCGAUGUCGGCUCAUCUCAUCCUGGGGCUGGAGCAGGUCCCAAGGGUACGGCUGUUCGCCGUUUAAAGAGGUACGUGAGCUGGGUUUAGAACGUCGUGAGACAGUUCGGUCCCUAUCUGCCGUGGGUGUAGGAUACUUGAGAGGAGUUGCCCCUAGUACGAGAGGACCGGGGUGAACGAUCCACUGGUGGACCAGUUGUCGUGCCAACGGCAGUGCUGGGUAGCUAUGAUCGGACAGGAUAACCGCUGAAGGCAUCUAAGCGGGAAGCCCCCCUCAAAACAAGGUAUCCCUGAGGGCCGUGGUAGACCACCACGUCGAUAGGCCGGAGAUGUAAGCAUGGUAACAUGUUCAGUUGACCGGUACUAAUGGCCCGAUAGGCUUGAUUUG